RNAcentral lists this unclassified non-coding RNA (421 nucleotides) under Hevea brasiliensis (rubber tree). Lineage: Eukaryota; Viridiplantae; Streptophyta; Magnoliopsida; Malpighiales; Euphorbiaceae. The record is from RNAcentral.
GGAAAUUUUAGAGUUGAUCAUGAUGUUUCAACCUUAACAAGUCUCUGAUGCCAUGAUUUCUAUCCAUGGCUUGGCAUAACUAGAACUGCAGUAACAGUUCUCUUUCUUUUGUAAUAUGUCAAUUAAUCUCAGAUUCCUUUUUGCUUAUGGGUAUUGAGUGAUAGUGAUAGAUUUUUAAUACUAUUCUUGAGUGAGGGAACAAUAAAUCAUGUGGCCUUUUUCCGUCUGUCUGUUUGUCUGUCAAACACCAAAGUGGACAGAUUUAUUUCCUGAUUGGGGCUUGGAAGCAGUGUAUAGAUUUAUUUCCUGGAAAGGCUGCUUAUGUUUAGGUGCUUGGAAAGGUCAAUUUGUCUGUGUAAUUUGAAGGUCACUGUCUGUAAGAGUUGGUAGAUGGGGUGUAUCUACAGUGCUAUAUGCUGGA